AGGGUUCGAUUAUGGCUCAGAUUGAACGCUGGCGGCAUGCCUUACACAUGCAAGUCGAACGGCAGCACGGACUUCGGUCUGGUGGCGAGUGGCGAACGGGUGAGUAAUACAUCGGAACGUGCCUGGUAGUGGGGGAUAACUACUCGAAAGAGUGGCUAAUACCGCAUGAGAUCUACGGAUGAAAGCAGGGGAUCGCAAGACCUUGUGCUACUAGAGCGGCCGAUGGCAGAUUAGGUAGUUGGUGGGAUAAAAGCUUACCAAGCCAACGAUCUGUAGCUGGUCUGAGAGGACGAUCAGCCACACUGGGACUGAGACACGGCCCAG
Molecule: ribosomal RNA, 324 nt
Filed under: uncultured bacterium
Lineage: Bacteria
Description: bacterial SSU rRNA
Rfam family: Bacterial small subunit ribosomal RNA
Source: RNAcentral